GAAUGCUGAAGGCUGAGGAGUGGGAGGAGGUAGGCAGAAAUGAGAAGUUGGAGCAGGGUAGAGUUAGCAGCCUCAGUGCUAUGAUGAAUGGCUGUAAAUCAGGAGUGGCAAAUCCUUGGCAUUGUGUGAUGGGAAGAUCAGACAAGUCUGAUGGGCUUAAGAAGAGAAACAAUAGUGCUGAAGGGUCCCCGUUUGAGUUUCAUGUGUGUUAAUGUGCAGGACUCUCUCUCUCUCACGCACACCCUCUGCACUACCCUCUCUAACUGGUUUAUUCUGCAUUGUGUUCAUCAGACAGUAGGGGAGAGGCUGGAUGAGCACAUCAGGACCAUAGACAGGCAUCUGGACAAGCACAUUGGGACCUUAGGCACAUGGGUAGAUCAACAUGUCUGGAGCCUCAACAAGUGGGUGCAGGAGCACAUGGGGACCCCAGACAAGUGGGUGGAUGAGCAUACGGAGGACCUGCUUGGGUGGCUGGAUGAGCACAUUGGGGCCCUCGACAAGUGGCUGGACAGAUAUGUUUGGACCCUGAAUGAGUGGCAUGAGGAGUAUGUUGAAGCUUUCGACAAGAGGCUAGAUGAGCAUGUUCAAGACAGGUGCCAGAAAGACCACACUGCAAACAUGGUUAUGUGGCUGGACCACAACAACAGGACCCUGUACAAGUGGCUGGAUGAGAAUGUCAUGAUCCUGUACAAGUUGCUGGAGGAGUAUAAUGGGACCACAGACAAGUCACUGGUAGAGUACGCUGAGGUUCAGGUCAAGCUGCUGGAGAACCACGUCAAAGUCCUAGAAGAGGUACUGCACCAAUCCCUGACAGCCACCAAUAACUGGCUGGAAAGACAUGCCAGGGCCAAAGAAGAGCCCUCAGGCAAGUAUGUCCAAUGGCUGCAGAGUACGUAUCUACAGGGGCAAGAGUCUGAAGAGGCCCAAGAAGUGGGGCCAGAAGACAAAUAUAUCACAGCCAUAAGGAACUGGUUGGGGAAGUAUGUUGGCGCCAUGAAAAAGUGGCUACAGGAGAACUUCGGAGACCAAUACCAAAAGAGCUUGAUGUAGGGGUUUUGUAUAGUGCCCAAGACAAAGAGCUGUGUGCCACCUCCACUGUGGACUACAUAUUAAUCUAUUCAUCAUCCCUGGGAGAGCCACCUGCCCAGAGAGCACAGACUGAAAAACACUAACAUGAAUAAACCUUAACAGCAGAUCUCUCGCUUCUUCA
Molecule: long non-coding RNA, 1210 nt
Filed under: Chrysemys picta bellii (western painted turtle)
Lineage: Eukaryota; Metazoa; Chordata; Testudines; Emydidae
Description: lncRNA (ENSCPBG00000021224.1)
Source: RNAcentral